UGAGAGUUCAAGAGGGCGUGAAACCGCUCAGAAGCAAACAGAUGGAUCUGAUGAAAAGUUGGCGGAAUUCAGUACUUUGAGCCACCUCGUGCCAGCGCUGGAUGUCUCACCAGUUGUUGAGCAAAUGAUGUGGCCAAGGGAUGCAUUUUUCGCCGAUGUGCACUGGAAGCUGCGCUUGUGCCGGAAAAACUCCUGUGAAUGUGGACCAAGUACGUUGGUAACUCUUCUCAGGAAAAAGCCUGGUUAUGAGUGCAGUGUUGGUGGCAGACACCCGCCUCUACUCUGAUGCGCCUGGAACUUCGUUGAGACACUGCUGAUUCUUGCUUGCAAGGUUUGGCGGCUUGAGCGUUUGGAAAGGUGUAUGCAGAGUCGGUGUUAUUCCAGUGUUUNUGUCAGUCACCCAUCUGACCCGUCUUGAAACACGGACCAAGGAGUCUAACAUGUGCGCGAGUCAUUGGGUAGUAACACCCAUAGGCGCAAUGAAAGUGAAGUCCAGUUUUGGCUGGAUGAAAUGGGACCCCUGCCUUGAGUGGGGUGCACCAUAGUCCCGUCUGAUCUGCUCGUCAGGCAGGCGGAGAUGGAGCGUACAUGCUGGGACCCGAAAGAUGGUGAACUAUGCCUGAGCAGGAUGAAGUCAGAGGAAACUCUGGUGGAGGUCCAUAGCGAUUCUGACGUGCA
Molecule: ribosomal RNA, 678 nt
Filed under: Epsilonematidae sp. 572_6-1000
Lineage: Eukaryota; Metazoa; Nematoda; Chromadorea; Desmodorida; Epsilonematidae
Description: eukaryotic LSU rRNA
Rfam family: Eukaryotic large subunit ribosomal RNA
Source: RNAcentral